This 253-nucleotide ribosomal RNA is filed under the name uncultured bacterium. RNAcentral describes it as "partial 16S ribosomal RNA". It matches the Rfam family "Bacterial small subunit ribosomal RNA", at positions 524 to 776 of the family's 1533-position model. The record is from RNAcentral.
UACGUAGGGUGCGAGCGUUGUCCGGAAUUAUUGGGCGUAAAGAGCUUGUAGGCGGUUUGUCGCGUCUGCUGUGAAAAUCCGGGGCUCAACCCCGGACUUGCAGUGGGUACGGGCAGACUAGAGUGUGGUAGGGGAGACUGGAAUUCCUGGUGUAGCGGUGAAAUGCGCAGAUAUCAGGAGGAACACCGAUGGCGAAGGCAGGUCUCUGGGCCACUACUGACGCUCAGGCGCGACAGCGUGGGGAGCGAACAGG